This 222-nucleotide long non-coding RNA is filed under the name Physcomitrium patens. Its description in RNAcentral is "long non-coding RNA (PPAT_LNC014562)". The record is from RNAcentral. Lineage: Eukaryota; Viridiplantae; Streptophyta; Bryopsida; Funariales; Funariaceae.
AGAGAGAAAAAAAAGAAUAAAGCAAUCCAAAUUUUUAUUAAAUCAAUUUAUAUGCCCAAUUCUUUCAUUUCUUUAUUCUCAAUUCUUACCUCUAUUCUUCCAUUCCUCGAUUCUUUUGUUCCCAACUCUUGCUUCUGUUCUCGCCAUUUUCAACCUCCUAAUCCAUCUUUAGUAAUGGUUGGAAUAGAAAAAAAUUGUGAAUAAUAAUAGGAGUUGUGAGGA